UAGCCGUAAACGAUACUCGCUAGGUGUCGGCCACGGUGCGACCGUUGUCGGUGCCGUAGGGAAGCCGUGAAGCGAGCCACCUGGGAAGUACGGCCGCAAGGCUGAAACUUAAAGGAAUUGGCGGGGGGAGCACCACAACGGGUGGAGCCUGCGGUUUAAUUGGACUCAACGCCGGGAAGCUCACCGGAUGAGACAGCGGAAUGAUUGCCGGGCUGAAGACCCUGCAUGACCAGCUGAGAGGUGGUGCAUGGCGUAGUCGUGU
This 262-nucleotide ribosomal RNA is filed under the name uncultured archaeon. RNAcentral describes it as "partial 16S ribosomal RNA". It matches the Rfam family "Archaeal small subunit ribosomal RNA", at positions 748 to 1009 of the family's 1478-position model. The record is from RNAcentral.